Molecule: ribosomal RNA, 429 nt
Filed under: Gemmatimonadota bacterium
Lineage: Bacteria; Pseudomonadati; Gemmatimonadota
Description: Gemmatimonadetes bacterium partial 16S ribosomal RNA
Rfam family: Bacterial small subunit ribosomal RNA
Source: RNAcentral
UAGGGAAUCUUCGGCAAUGGACGAAAGUCUGACCGAGCAACGCCGCGUGAGUGAAGAAGGUUCUCGGAUCGUAAAACUCUGUUGUUAGAGAAGAACAAGGACGUUAGUAACUGAACGUCCCCUGACGGUAUCUAACCAGAAAGCCACGGCUAACUACGUGCCAGCAGCCGCGGUAAUACGUAGGUGGCAAGCGUUGUCCGGAUUUAUUGGGCGUAAAGCGAGCGCAGGCGGUUUCUUAAGUCUGAUGUGAAAGCCCCCGGCUCAACCGGGGAGGGUCAUUGGAACCUGUGAGACUUGAGUGGAGAAGAGGAGAGUGGAAUUCCAUGUGUAGCGGUGAGAUGCGUAGAUAUAUGGGGGAACACCAGUGGCGAAGGCGGCUCUCUGGUCUGUAACUGACGCUGGGGCUCGAGAGCGUGGGGAGCAAACAGG